RNAcentral lists this ribosomal RNA (327 nucleotides) under uncultured eukaryote. Its description in RNAcentral is "partial 18S ribosomal RNA". It matches the Rfam family "Eukaryotic small subunit ribosomal RNA", at positions 1470 to 1796 of the family's 1831-position model. The record is from RNAcentral.
CCCUUAGAUGUUCUGGGCCGCACGCGCGCUACACUGACGAAUGCAACGAGCUUAUAACCUCGGCCGAAAGGUCUGGGUAAUCUCCAAAUUUCGUCGUGAUGGGGAUAGAUUAUUGCAAUUAUUAAUCUUCAACGAGGAAUGCCUAGUAAGCGCAAGUCAUCAGCUUGCGUUGAUUACGUCCCUGCCCUUUGUACACACCGCCCGUCGCUCCUACCGAUUGAAUGGUCCGGUGAAGCGUUCGGACCGUGGCCUUUGGACGGUUCGCCGUCUGUUGGCUGCGGGAAGUUCGUUAAACCUUAUCAUUUAGAGGAAGGAGAAGUCGUANCA